GUCGGACUGGACCAAGCACUAUCCGUCCGAGCUUUCGGGCAGCGCGUCGGGCUGGCCCGUGCGCUGGCCGCCGACCCCGAGAUCAUUCUGAUGGACGAACCCUUCUCGGCGCUCGAUCCGCUGAUCCGGCG
RNAcentral lists this transfer RNA (131 nucleotides) under Maritimibacter alkaliphilus HTCC2654. RNAcentral describes it as "tRNA-Pro". Lineage: Bacteria; Pseudomonadati; Pseudomonadota; Alphaproteobacteria; Rhodobacterales; Roseobacteraceae. The record is from RNAcentral.